Molecule: ribosomal RNA, 253 nt
Filed under: uncultured bacterium
Lineage: Bacteria
Description: partial 16S ribosomal RNA
Rfam family: Bacterial small subunit ribosomal RNA
Source: RNAcentral
UACGUAGGGAGCAAGCGUUGUCCGGAAUCAUUGGGCGUAAAGCGCGCGUAGGCGGCCCUGUAAGUCCGCUGUGAAAGUCAAAGGCUCAACCUUUGAAAGCCGAUGGAUACUGCAGGGCUAGAGUCCGGAAGAGGCGAGUGGAAUUCCUGGUGUAGCGGUGGAAUGCGCAGAUAUCAGGAGGAACACCAAUAGCGAAGGCAGCUCGCUGGGACGGUACUGACGCUAAGGCGCGAAAGCGUGGGGAGCGAACAGG